UACAGAGGGUGCAAGCGUUGUUCGGAAUUACUGGGCGUAAAGGGCGCGUAGGCGGCCAGCGCAAGUCAGUUGUGAAAUCUCCGGGCUUAACUCGGAAAGGUCAACUGAUACUGCGCGGCUAGAGUGCAGAAGGGGCAACUGGAAUUCUCGGUGUAGCGGUGAAAUGCGUAGAUAUCGAGAGGAACACCUGCGGCGAAGGCGGGUUGCUGGGCUGACACUGACGCUGAUGCGCGAAAGCCAGGGGAGCGAACAGG
Molecule: ribosomal RNA, 254 nt
Filed under: uncultured bacterium
Lineage: Bacteria
Description: partial 16S ribosomal RNA
Rfam family: Bacterial small subunit ribosomal RNA
Source: RNAcentral